GAUACGUAAGCCGUAACCCGUAACACACGCGGCACUUCAAUCAAUACCUAGAUUUUCCCAUCGCCGCAUGCAGCUGGAUUAUCUCUCACGAUACGGUAUAGGUGUAUCAACGUUGAAUGCACGCGCCUCAUCCGAUCAAUGCGCGAACUCUUUCUUCCUUUUUUUUUUUUAUCCUCUUUUUUUCUUCACCUUCACAUCUUCCCCGUACGCCGUACCAAGGUUGAAUAUAACAUGAUAUACAAUUGUGAGAACCAAUUUCGUCUCACGGGAUCAUCGUCGUCGUCGUCGUCUUAGUCGUGAUCGGUGUGGGUAUAAUAUCAAUCACCUCGUCAACAUCGCAUGCGAUCCUACCGUACGUAUCUAGGUAAAAUACGGUAUAAGUAUUGUAAUACACAUAUGCGUGUGUGUGUGAAAAGAAGUUUACUAAUCGCUGUAGAUUGUGACUCAUUAUCGUCAUCAUCGUCAUUAUUUUUUACCACUAUUAUCGAGAUUAUUGUUCAUUGUAAUUCAACAGAUUGAGAAAACAAUUAUGUUGUUCCCGAUCGGUGAAGAGCGGUGCGCUAAUACUCGUUAUGUGCGGCUACCGGUUAUUUAGAAAUCAUCCGGAUUUUCAUCUCGAUUGGAUUGAAGAGUUCCUUGACAACAUCCUGAUGCAAUUCACGUGGGCGUGUGUCUCUGAAUCACGGUGAGACGGGAAACUUCUGAUGGCGAUGAAAGGCGGGAUGCCACCAUUUUGGGCCAUGCGGACAAGGAUAUAAUCCGCAAAAUAGCAUCCCUCUGCCUCCUGUGAGGUUUGAACUCACGACCCCUGGUUUACGAGACCAGUGCUCUACCACUGAGCUAAAGAGGCUCGCAAUUCAGCACCCUUAAAUAAAAUUACCAUACCUCCAGGGUAGAGCGCGAAAAUUAAUGAGCGCUAUUAAAAAUUACAGAAUUGACGAUGUUACCGAUUUGUCAUUCCUUUUUUACCCUCUGGUUGUUCCACAACAUUCACACUCACGAUAAGUCUGUCAUGUACAGAUGACAAAUUCUUACUACACCUAUUUCGAGAUUUCUUCGUUAUUCCGCUGAAAAGAAAUUAGGACAAUUAAUCGUUAAGUUCUAUGAGCGUUGUACAUUUUUUAUUCCUACAAUGGAAAUAAUUUGUUCUCUAGUUAUUUCGAUAUAAUUAUAUGUCUCCAUAGGUGUAAUUACAUGAAACCUAUUCCGAGAAAUUAAUCGACACAUGCACCAUACAUGUGCUCUAUAUUUAACUAUGAAGAUACAGCAGAACGAGCAAUUAUCAACGAGAAUAGCAGAUGCCCUCGUAUCAUCUAAACAAACUUAGUUAUAAUUACCUUGAUAAUUACUUUAACAGAAGGACGCUGCUAUGCAACCGCAAAUACAAGGUUUCAAAUAUAAAAAGUAAGGUCGACUGUUGAUUAUUCCUUCGAAUUUUUGUAACACGAACACCCGUGAACUUGCGUUAAACUGCGAUAAUUUAUUCACUCUUCUUUACAAUCCUCAUUCGGCACGCACGUGUCUCUUACGAUUGUGGGUCAUGAUUAAAUUCGAUACGGAACUAAUUAUGUUAAUAUCGGAUAAAUUUUGAACGGCGAUUAUUUUCGUUCGGAUGUUAUCGACUCUUUGAGACUUCUUCAAUCUCCCAGAGCAACGAAAACGACGAACAUCCUUCGAAUGAUUCGAUUGUUCGAAGUUUGGAGAUUAACGGGGUUCGAAAGUUGAUCACCCCUCCCAAUUAGCUGCGUGAAAACUGACAUUUCUUCUACUCGAAUCGAAGAAUUUCCCAAGCGAGAAGGAGAAAUGACUCGACGAAACAGAACGAGAUCUGAGAAAUCUUUUGCAUAAAUCGUAAAACGACUCGCGCAUCGCUUCAUGAAAUUAUUCACGAACAUCUCACGCACGUGCAUCACCGUACAGCGGUAAUAAGGUAUUACUUAUAAUAACACGGUGCCGGUGGUUAUCGCGAGGAUCGAUGGUUAAAAAAUUGGCGUGGCAGAAAAAUAUGGGGCUCUUCAUUCAGAGAAUCACCCGAGGCCUUGAAAGUUCAAAAAUUGUCGGAGCGAAGGGCGAGCGGGGGAUUUUGCGGCAGUAAAAUUGGCGAAAAGAGAGAAUAAUUGGAGGCGAGGUAUAGUAUAUGAGGCGUCAGUAUCAGCAGCAUCGGCAUUAAAAUCAGCAUCCCAACAUCGGUAUAUACAUGUAUAGGGGCUCGGCAAAAGCGUCUUCCGUUCCCGAGUUAUUCUCCUUUGGGUUCCGCGAAUCAUGGCCAUUAUUUCUUUGCCCCUCGUGAGAUUUCAAUUACCAGAGAGAAACUGGAAGCAACUUGCCGCUGCUGUUGCUGCUGCUGUUACAGACGGGCGUUGAAGCGGCCAAACAAGUUGGAAUUUCUGGAACGUAACGUACCGAGAAUUUGGAAGUUAAAAUCUCAUUUCGAGACUUAAGUCGUAACGUCAUUAGCUACCGCUCAUUUUCCGUCUCUUUCUCUCUAUUUCUUUUCUGUUUCUAUUCAAAUUCAUUUCCUACCAACUUUUUUCUUACGUUUCGAUUCCUCUCUUGUUUUAUUUUUUCAUUAUUCUCUUCGAUUCUUUCGUUUUUUUUUUCUUUUUGCUCACAGCUCCAUACUUAAUCCUUCUUCGAGCUCAUUCGACACGAUUUCAAACUCGUCACGUACUAAAUCAUACGCGGUACGUCGAUUCAUCAUUCUCUGUAACACCCGGUAUAACGAAACGUCUCGUUGAUUAGGAGAAGAAUAAUAUCAGGUAUACCGCAGUUGCACAAUCAUGGUAUUAAAACCAUGGCGCAUCUAUUGGACACGAUUGAAGAAAUGGAAAAAGAUAUGAAAGGGUUCAAACGAUGGAUACGUAUCGAACUUGUACGCUCAACCGAAGGAUAAAAUCGAGUAAACGGUAAUCACCGAAUAUCCUUCUCGCAAUAUUACAUAAAAUAAGACGGUCGAAAACGUCGCGAAUUACUUACAAAUAUUCACAAGUAUAUGAUAUAUCAAUUUUCCCAUGUAUCUAGGUUAUCAACCGCAUACUCAAUUGAAUGAUAUACGACGAGAAUCCUCGAUUUUUGCAUUCGUCUAUAACCAGUUUGGAGCAUGCGUGUAUGAUAAAGUAUUUGAAAAUAAUUAUUCGUACAGCUAUCAUCGAUACGUUCUAAAAAUCAACGAUCGGAAUUUCUCGUUCAAUAUUUACCCAAACGUGUUAUUUUCAGAACUAUUCUCGGCAUUCAGUUUUUAAAUUAUCGUUUUAUCGCAGCUGCUAUAUAAUGGAGUGUUAUAUUUGCGAGUUUGCAAUUUAAAAAACAUGACUAUCCAGCAUUGAAGAAAAAACUGAUAAUUAUCUCGAAUUCUAAGAAACGAUAUCUUCGUCAUUAUUCCUCACCUCAGAUAAUAGUCGCAAUCAAUCGUAAAAGCUUCAUGUUGGCAAUGACCUUACUCAAAUAUAUUAUCGGUACAAGGUCAAAAACGAGUUGGUGUGAUUUUGUGGGUGUUUUUUUUUCACAACCAGGUUGAUAUACGGCUGAUAAUGUUGAUGUAAGUAGAGAGAGAAAAAAGCCCACUUUAACCCAGAUAAAAUACAUUUACGUCACGGUUAAUCAAAAUUUUGGCUUUACGCAGUACGAUAACUAAUAAUUAGACUUUGUCAUUAAGGAACAUACAUUUUUUUUCCAGAUACAAAUUUUUUAUUCCAACGAAAUCCUCAAUUAAGAUAUUUAUCCAUGCGUGAUUUGGGAGGGAACACCGCGUAACCCCAUGUGGUGUAUACCUCGGGGCUAAAGAACUGAAACUGAAAAACCGAGUAUUUACCUAUACGUUCUCAAAUACUAUAUUCAAGGAAUAGCCGUGUAACCGUGAAAUUGAUAGCUCGUGGAAAUUGAACAAGGUGACCGCGAUGCCCGACGGGUUUUUUAGAACGGAUGUGUAUUGAAGAGAGACAGGACCGGAGACACCUGCAUAUAAUUAUAAUAUCGAACCUUUUGUUCAGCGUAACGAGACCGUCUAACAAAUGACAAAACAUCUUUGGAAAAUUUGUACGUUCCAUCUGGGACGCAGAAAUGAUGAACUCGUUCGUACAGAAUAUGGAAUUGAAAUUCGAGUUGUAUAAUGUUCUUGUUUGUUCUAUAAUAGCAAAGUUUUUUUUUUGCGUACAAUCUGGGUAAGUUGUUGACUACAAUAAUUCAUAUUCGGUAGACCGUGAGGUAGGUUGAAUGAAUAUAUUCAAAAAUAAAGAAAAAUCUAUUUUCGCGAUCCAGUGUAACGCCAAUCUGACAUUUCAAGCUAUUAACUAGACUACCAAAUUGACCCAGAUUUCAAGAAUUAGGCACUCUAUUUUCAAAUUUCCGCUUAAGUGACGCACUCGCGAUGCUGUACAGACGAAUACCUCAGCUGCACAGACGUUUUUAAAUACAUAGUAUAUAACACCAGCGAUUAUUUAGCCGCUGAUGAUGCCGCGCCGCUUGAUCUUUGGCAAGCUUAAAAGUUAGACGCAAGCACUGCCGCGGAUCCAACAGCAAACCGUACCGAACCCGGCUGCUAUACUUUGAUCAAUCAUCUCCGCAUCUUUGCAUAUACAUAUUAUCAUUCGUUCGCACCACGAUUCUGUCAUAUCAAUAAUAACUGGCGGUGGAUUAAACCGCGCGAAAUAAACACGACUAUAUUAAGUCGUGGACAGUAUCGGCGCAGUGACCGUGUAAAUUCUGCAACUAAAUGUGUUAAAUCUUCGCGUAUCUGUGAUACCCUAUAAGUACAUAGGCUAGCUAAAUAGAUUUCCUUGGAAGUGUUUGCUAGACAACUAUACAUGAUACUAAUAUGAUCCCGGAGAUUUCUUGGAAUCAUAUUGGUUAAAUUAGUUGAGGAGGAAUAUAGAAGAAACGAAAAAAAAAAAAAGAAAAAAAAGAAUUAGAAAUGCCGGGUAUAUAAAUUAUGCCGACUCCCGACUACGUGUCUGCAGAUAUAAUGUU
Molecule: long non-coding RNA, 4965 nt
Organism: Athalia rosae (coleseed sawfly)
Lineage: Eukaryota; Metazoa; Arthropoda; Insecta; Hymenoptera; Athaliidae
Exons: 2
Source: RefSeq, a predicted model, not a curated record